GAUAACCUCGGGAAACUGGGGAUAAUACCGGAUAACGCAUAUGUGCUGGAAUGCUUUAUGCGUAAAACGGAUUCGUCCGCCCAAGGAUGGGUCUGCGGCCUGUCAGGUAGUAGUGGGUGUAAUGUACCUACUAGCCAACAACGGGUACGGGUUGUGAGAGCAAGAGCCCGGAGAUGGAUUCUGAGACAUGAAUCCAGGCCCUACGGGGCGCAGCAGGCGCGAAAACUUUACAAUGCGGGAAACCGUGAUAAGGGAACACCGAGUGCCAGCAACAUAUGCUGGCUGUCCAGAUGUGUAAAGUACAUCUGUUAGCAAGGGCCGGGCAAGACCGGUGCCAGCCGCCGCGGUAACACCGGCGGCCCGAGUGGUGACCGUUAUUAUUGGGUCUAAAGGGUCCGUAGCCGGUUUGGUCAGUCCUCCGGGAAAUCUGAUAGCUUAACUGUUAGGCUUUCGGGGGAUACUGCCAGGCUUGGAACCGGGAGAGGUAAGAGGUACUACAGGGGUAGGAGUGAAAUCUUGUAAUCCCUGUGAGACCACCUGUGGCGAAGGCGUCUUACCAGAACGGGUUCGACGGUGAGGGACGAAAGCUGGGGGCACGAACCGGAUUAGAUACCCGGGUAGUCCCAGCCGUAAACUAUGCUCGCUAGGUGUCAGGCAUGGCGCGACCGUGUCUGGUGCCGCAGGGAAGCCGUGAAGCGAGCCACCUGGGAAAUACGGCCGCAAGGCUGAAACUUAAAGGAAUUGGCGGGGGAGCACAACAACGGGUGGAGCCUGCGGUUUAAUUGGACUCAACGCCGGACAACUCACCGGGGACGACAGCAAAAUGUAGGCCAGGCUGAAGACCUUGCCUGAAUCGCUGAGAGGAGUGCAU
This 871-nucleotide ribosomal RNA is filed under the name uncultured archaeon. Its description in RNAcentral is "bacterial SSU rRNA". It matches the Rfam family "Archaeal small subunit ribosomal RNA", at positions 125 to 995 of the family's 1478-position model. The record is from RNAcentral.